CGUGGGCUGUACUUCAUUGGCUCGAUGGCGGAGGAAAAAUUAGAAGAAUCUUGUACUGGUGGAGUAAAGACAUCUGCUACUUGCGUCUCUGAAGCUGAAGAGAAAAUGGAUAUUUUUCGAUUUGAGCUGUACGGUGUUCCUGAGUCUUCCCCCAUGGAAUUUUCAUUUGGCUUUUGCGAGCUCAAUGAAGAUGAAACCGAUUUCUGUAAAUCCAGUUUUUUGGCUGAAAUGAUCUCAAUGUGAUCAUUGGUAAGACUGUUCUGGCCCCUGAGAAUGAUCUCCUGCUGUUUACUCGCUUGGAUGAUUUUUUUUCCUUUGUUGUAACUACCGAUAGUUGAGACCGAAGGAGAGAAAUUUUCUAAGUGCUCUGUUCCUUCAUACUGCCCACUAUCUGUUUGAUAAAAUGCCUGACUAUUCCAUUGUUACUAUUAAACUCUGCUAUGAUCCAUGGUCUAUACUUUAGUCUUGUAACACUUGUUCUUGUGGUGAGACUUUUUAUAAAAGAUUUUAGAAA
This is a long non-coding RNA of Juglans regia (Persian walnut), 514 nucleotides long. RefSeq lists it as uncharacterized. The transcript has 2 exons. The record is from RefSeq and is a predicted model, not a curated record. NCBI's taxonomy places the organism in Eukaryota, Viridiplantae, Streptophyta, Magnoliopsida, Fagales, Juglandaceae.